UCUGUCCCCACCGAGGGGACUAUGGGAGACAUGGAGGGUGUGUGAGCAACAGGUGAGACUGGAGCCAGCUGAAAACUGGGAGACCGACCCAGCCAACAAACAAUGUCGGUCUCUGUCUUGGCACCUGCAGGAAACAAGCUCCUACUUCCAGAAAAAGUGCUCCUGGGACUCCAGGAUACCAGGCAUCUGGGUAAGCUACAAUGCUUAACCACUUAACACAAUCAGGAAGCAACAGCCAUGCAUUCGGGAAAGGAACUUCAGUGUUGUGUGGCUCAGUCUCCAGACCUAACUUUCCCUUUGGUACAGACGCGGUGGUACAUGCCUGUAAUCCCAACACUUAGGCAGGAGGAUCACUCGAGCCCAGAAGAUCAAGACUAGUGUGAGCAACAAAAUGGGCUUGGUGGUGGGCACCUGUAAUCUCAGCUACUUGGAAGGCUGAGGCAGGAGAAUUGCUUGAACCCGGGAGGCGGAGGUCACAGUGAGCCGAGAUCGCACCAUUGCACUCCAGCGUGGGCUACAGAACAAGACUCUGUCUCAAAAGGAAAAAAAAAAGAAUUCAGAAUUCACCUGUCGCCUGCUGCUGCAGUGAACAGUGAGUGGCAC
This 603-nucleotide long non-coding RNA is filed under the name Homo sapiens (human). RNAcentral's name for it is "BST2 interferon stimulated positive regulator". The record is from RNAcentral. Lineage: Eukaryota; Metazoa; Chordata; Mammalia; Primates; Hominidae.